This is a long non-coding RNA of Ictalurus punctatus (channel catfish), 3601 nucleotides long. Lineage: Eukaryota; Metazoa; Chordata; Actinopteri; Siluriformes; Ictaluridae. The record is from Ensembl.
GUAACGGGAAGGAAGUCAGUGUCGGUGACUCUGCUAAGCUAGCGGCGUCACGUUACGUGCGUAUGACGUCAUGCGCCGUCGAUUAGGAAGCGGCUUAUACUUCCGGUUAGGAAAAAACCCGCCCGUGUUCUAUUUGAGAUGAUAUAGCUUUCUAAAAUUCAUACACUAGACGGUGGUGCAGAGUGCAGAGUGGUCACAGCUGAUCUGGAGCCUAUCCCUCAGGGCACAGUGCAGGGGACACCCUGGACAGGGUGCCAACCCAACGUAGGGCACACAAUCCCACACACAUUCACACACUACGGACAAUUUGGAAAGCCUACACAGGUUUCCACACAGAUCUAGCUGAUUGCUUGAUUGGUCCCGCUUGGCAGGAAAAUGGCCUGUUGAAGUGUGUGAGAAGCAGGUGCAGGACUUGGCCCCAGCAGCCCCAGCCUGUGGCCACGGCACGGAAUAAUAGCAGCAGUGUUUCUACACAGUGGAGCGCUGUCACAACCAGCCACUUGCAAAAAUACGACACGUUUUUCAUAGACGUGUGCGCCGGGAAGGAGAAGCUCAAAGAUGAGAACGGGUUUCCUUUUGAGUCUGGUUCCUCUCAAGGUUUCUCCCUCAUGCUGUCUCAUGGAGUGUUUGCUUGCCACUGUCACCUCUGGUACUUCAAAAAUCAUGCAUAGAUAGCAGCCAUAAGAACAGGACAAAACUGUGACAAAUGGCUUUGAAAAGCAGUUCUGACACAGUUGGGAAAGCCCUAAAACCUCCAAGCUAUAAAGGCCUAUAGCCAGCUGGAAACGUCGACCCUAAAGGUGCAGAACGUCUCCGCUCCUAACGCAAAGCAGUAGUUCCACAGUGGAUUCUGGACUGCCAUAUGGACCGACGUAGCAUUUUUACCACCCCAUGACUACGAUCAGAAGAGGGAGCAAAUUACAUGCCUUAUCUGAUGUGGAAGGGACUGCCGGUCAACUUGAAGGACACCGAGCAGCUGUUUGUGUGCUUUGGGGAGUACCAUAAGCCGGCUUCGCUGUCUAAGGACUGGUUAGGCCACUGCCUAAAGGACGUGAUUACACAGGCAUACUCACAUUACCAAAAGGCCAGGUCCUCUGAGGAGUGCUAUGAGGAGAGCAGAAACACAUUUGAAAUAGAAGGCUCUGCGUGAUUUUUUUAUACGAGGCCCGGGGUACGGUUGUCAUGAAAUGACACCUUCAAUGUACUUCAGAAAUUGCUGCCUAUGGAAAUGAACACACAGGAAGCCUUCUGAAGGAAACCGCUAUGGUGGUUGUCCUAUUAGUCAUAGAACUAUGGUUACAUAUAUUACCUUCCAUUUCAAAGGAAGUGAUUGGUAAUUACUUAAAAAUGUAAGAUAUUUCGAUCAAUAUCAACUGUUCUACCAUGAAAACACGUGAUUAAAUGUAUAAUCCGUAUCGAGGUUUUUAUUUUUGUACUGAUUGUAUAUAGCUGUGGUAUGAAACGGUUAAUGACUCAACAGUGACGCAUAAUUUAUGUUUUCGAGAAUUCCUCCCUGCAGAUUUGCAAAUGAGAGAAUCACAGAGUAAUGCUUUCAUGGAGCUCUGAACUGUAAAUAGCACAUAUUUUCGCAAUAACUGACAAGGUGCUAGGACUAUUCAUUGUGUCAUUAAAUAUCAGACAUUAAUUGCAGCCUUGAUUUCAAAUGGCUUGAUUUGCACUCAUUAAUUGACAUAUUACUACACGUUGUUGAAUAAUUAGCCAGCUUCUUAUAUUAUGAAUAUAGUUUACCGUGCUAACAAAGACGAGGGUGCAUUUGCAUGUCCUGCACACACGCUUCUUCAUUCAACAUUUCCCCCUAUAACAUAACAUAAUAUGACCUUCGCAUCAUUCUAUACUGUAUAGUCAUGUGUAUUUUCUUAUCGACCUUCUUGAAGAUUGUAACACAAGGACUUAAUGAAAAGAACUCAUAUUACGCAUCCGUGAGGCAUUCUGGCAGCUGACAACAGAAGAUAUAUGCUAUUACGUGUGUACAUAUACAAUUGGUUCCUGAAGUAGGCAGGCGUUCCUCUGUAAGAGGAAUUUGAAAUGUGUGUCUUGGGAGGCUAACCGUUUGUUUGCAGUUCUUCUACGACACAGGCUAGAGGUGCGAAAAGGGGCUUAGCCUGCUGAAAAACCAUUUUGCUCCCAAUCUGGCAGACCGGGCCACAGGUAAAUUGAGUGUAUCUCUAGAGAGUUGAAACAGGCUUGUCAAAUGUCAGUUCAGAGAUGUUCACGAAGCCAAAGACCAUGUGAGCACGACCACAUGCUGUGAUGCAUACUCUUUAGUGGAUAGCACAAUCUCUCUGAACAGCUCUGGAAGAAUUGUCAGGAGGAUGGGGAUCUGGGGUGCAGUUCUGAGAAUUAGUUAUCAUAUUGAUGCUUUGAGUGCUGACAUUUCCCAGCUUAAACUAUCUACGCAUGGCUAAGUAUACGUUCCAGAGAGUCUUCUUUCACCUUCAAAUUCAGGGAUCCUGCUAUUAAGUUGUUUGUUCAGAUAUAUAUGACAAAGCCGGGUUAAUCUAGCUGAAAUAUAACUUUUCACGUUUGCGGAUAGUGCAUCUGGAAGGUUGAAUUUAACAUCGCUAUCUCUUUAUUCUAAAUUAACACUGGUUUUCGCAAAGCAUCCCUGGAGUGUCCCCUGACUUAAUUGCCAUUCAGAGCACAGCAGCCACAUAAUAAUAUAUGCAGACUGUGGAAAUAUAUGUAUUUCAGUAGGCAAAGUGAUUACAAAGUACAUGACUAAAGACGUAAUCAGUAAUGUCGUUUUAAAACGACAUAAAACAUCUUAUUUGACUUCUGGACCAUUAACUUAACUGACCUUUUUAUGUAAAAUAAUCUUUAACGAGGAAAAUAUGUUAACGGCUGCCUCUUUUAUUAUAUAUAUAUUUAAAAAAAGGCAAACAUAAAGUGCUUAAGUAUACGCUUUAAAUGAAGGUUCACUUACUUAGCAUUAUUUAUUGCAGAUAGCAUUAAGAAACCGGUUAACCAAUUGAAACUACGGACAUAACUUUACCAUAAAUAACCUACACAUAACAUGAAUAAAAACGUUAAACUUCUGCUGAUGAAAUAAGUUUGCAUAAUAAUGAAUUAAUGAACGCUUUCAUUACACAAUGAUCAAUUAAUUAAGGACUAAUAUAAAUGAUGAAUCUAAAUGAAAUGGCACAGACAGUACCUCUGAUUGUAAGGUACAUCACAGGUUUAUGUUAAUGCUCUUGUGCGAAUACUGUAUUGUUUUUAGAUUAACAACACACAGAGUCUUGCUGGUUGGUCCACAUAAACAGAUAACAAUGUGUAACAGGAGAUAUUUAUUUAGCACUUUUGGAGGGACUCCAGUGUCCGUGCUUUGUAUUAGUAAAUCUGUAAUGUUAAGCUAAAGUCAGAGGUCGGUAGUAAUGCGUUCACUUUUUUAUCUGCUGAGUUGAGAGGGGGGAGAAGCGAGAGUGAGCUCUAAACACACACACACACACACACACACACACACACACACACACACACACACACUUUCUCUUCUGUUCUGUUCCUUAGUCUGUUCUUUUGUUCUCUGUUGUCUUGUUUAAAUGCAGAUGCUGCCAAGUUUGUGUUGUUAACAUGUGAAAAUAAA